CUGUUUCUGCAGGCCAUUCAAUUUCAGAAGUUUGGAAGUUGUAACCAAUAAGUAUAAGAUAACCCACAAAUACAGCAAGAACAGCCUGAGGACUGAAUUAAGUCCUCAGAAUGGGUUCGGUGGAUGCAAAGGAAAGACAACAAGACCCUUAUCGGUGAGUAAUCAAAUCUGACUUCUUUUGAUACACAAUUGCAUUGGAGAGUUGGCCUUGAGUAGCUGAGAAGGCACUCUAUUAAUGGGGAAUGUUGUUGAACUCAAAUAAUUAGCAAACUUCCCUAAAAGUGAUAAGAACUGCAGAUUGAAACCUUAAAGAGCUGGCCGCAGUUAAGAAAAAUAAUCCCGUAGUACCGUAAUGUACGUAAAAGAACACAAAACCAGACAUAUACCUUCACUUCGGUCUGCAAAACCGCAAAUAAUGCAUGCACAAAUCCAAGGCCUUCCAGCACGGGAUGCCUUUGCACCACCGUUAAGUUCCCCGUUGUGCUGCUUC
Molecule: long non-coding RNA, 490 nt
Filed under: Vigna radiata
Lineage: Eukaryota; Viridiplantae; Streptophyta; Magnoliopsida; Fabales; Fabaceae
Description: long non-coding RNA (VRAD_LNC001403)
Source: RNAcentral